GACGAACGCUGGCGGCGUGCUUAACACACGCAAGUCGAACGGUAAAGCCCUUCGGGGUACACGAGUGGCGAACGGGUGAGUAACACGUGGGUGAUCUGCCCUGCACUUCGGGAUAAGCCUGGGAAACUGGGUCUAAUACCGGAUAGGACCACUGCCUGCAUGGGGGGUGGUGGAAAGCUUUUGCGGUGUGGGAUGGGCCCGCGGCCUAUCAGCUUGUUGGUGGGGUGAUGGCCUACCAAGGCGACGACGGGUAGCCGGCCUGAGAGGGUGACCGGCCACACUGGGACUGAGAUACGGCCCAGACUCCUACGGGAGGCAGCAGUGGGGAAUAUUGCACAAUGGGCGCAAGCCUGAUGCAGCGACGCCGCGUGAGGGAUGACGGCCUUCGGGUUGUAAACCUCUUCCAGUAGGGACGAAGCGCAAGUGACGGUACCUACAGAAGAAGGACCGGCCAACUACGUGCCAGCCGCCGCAGUAA
Molecule: ribosomal RNA, 478 nt
Filed under: uncultured bacterium
Lineage: Bacteria
Description: partial 16S ribosomal RNA
Rfam family: Bacterial small subunit ribosomal RNA
Source: RNAcentral